AGUCGAACGGUAACAGGUCUUCGGAUGCUGACGAGUGGCGAACGGGUGAGUAAUACAUCGGAACGUGCCCGAUCGUGGGGGAUAACGAGGCGAAAGCUUUGCUAAUACCGCAUACGAUCUACGGAUGAAAGCGGGGGAUCUUCGGACCUCGCGCGGACGGAGCGGCCGAUGGCAGAUUAGGUAGUUGGUGGGAUAAAAGCUUACCAAGCCGACGAUCUGUAGCUGGUCUGAGAGGAUGAUCAGCCACACUGGGACUGAGACACGGCCCAGACUCCUACGGGAGGCAGCAGUGGGGAAUUUUGGACAAUGGGCGAAAGCCUGAUCCAGCCAUGCCGCGUGCAGGAUGAAGGCCUUCGGGUUGUAAACUGCUUUUGUACGGAACGAAAAGCCUCUUUCUAAUAAAGAGGGGUCAUGACGGUACCGUAAGAAUAAGCACCGGCUAACUACGUGCCAGCAGCCGCGGUAAUACGUAGGGUGCAAGCGUUAAUCGGAAUUACUGGGCGUAAAGCGUGCGCAGGCGGUUUUGUAAGACAGAGGUGAAAUCCCCGGGCUCAACCUGGGAACUGCCUUUGUGACUGCAAGGCUGGAGUGCGGCAGAGGGGGAUGGAAUUCCGCGUGUAGCAGUGAAAUGCGUAGAUAUGCGGAGGAACACCGAUGGCGAAGGCAAUCCCCUGGGCCUACACUGACGCUCAUGCACGAAAGCGUGGGGGGCAAACAGGAUUAGAUACCCUGGUAGUCCACGCCCUAAACGAUGUCAACUGGUUGUUGGGUCUUCACUGACUCAGUAACGAAGCUAACGCGUGAAGUU
This 808-nucleotide ribosomal RNA is filed under the name uncultured bacterium. Its description in RNAcentral is "bacterial SSU rRNA". It matches the Rfam family "Bacterial small subunit ribosomal RNA", at positions 60 to 866 of the family's 1533-position model. The record is from RNAcentral.